CCGGGAGGAGCCCACAGCGUUGUAAUGCCGGAGAUACGCCUCCGCCACGUCGUGUCCUGCAGCAGCCAGGACUCGACCCACUGUGCAGAAAACCUUCUCAAGGCAGACACUUACCGAAAAUGGCGGGCAGCCAAGGCAGGCGAGAAGACCAUCUCUGUGGUCCUACAGAUGCGGAAACCAAGGCCCAAAGAAGUUAUGCAACUUGCCUGACAGCCAAUCUUGUAAACUGUGGGAGAUACAGGUUGCUGACAGUUUAGUCUUGGGACCUGCAUUUGAGUCCCCAGCUCUCCUCCUUACUCUGUGACCUCAGGCAAAUUGUUUCAUUUCUCUAAACCUGUUUUCUCAUCUGUCCAUUGGGAAUAAUGACAUCUAAGCCUGGAGUUGUUGCGAAAAUCCACUGACAUAAUGUCUCCAAAAGUGCUCUGUCAACAUGUAGGUGUUUGUGUAAAGGGAGGGAUUCGUGUUUAUUACUGGAUGAUAAUUCUGCUGAACUCUCUUAUGAUCAGGUGACCCCAGGGAAGCCAUCUUUGGUCCUGUUACCCUAGUUGCUGUGGGAACAGAGAGACUGGAGGCAGAAGAGAUAGGACAUGGGGGAUGAGGGAGCCAAAGUGGUGAGGCACAGGAUUCUCUGGCCUGGGAGAGACUGAGGGAGUAUUGCAGCUGUUGCCAAAAUGGGACACACGUAGAAGGAGCAGCUUGCAUUUCAGUUGGAUUGUCCAGGUUUGAUGUAAAUUUGGGACAUCCAAGGGGUACCAUCCCUUCUGAUCCCCACAGUUUGGGAUUAGACAUGGAGCUAGAGACAGGUAUAGAUGUUGUCAGCACAGGGAUAGGACCUCUAGACUUGGGAACAGAUGAUGGAUUCAUUCAUUCAUUUGUUCGUUCAGCAAGUAUUUAUUAAGUGCCUUCUAUAUGCCAAGCACUGUUUUAGGUACUGGGCUUAUGUAGCAGUGUAUGGCACAAGACAAAUAUUCAGUCAUGUGGAGCAUUCAUGUUAGUAGGGAAAGACCGACAAAUCGAUAAGUAAAACAUAUGUCAGAUGAAUGCUAUGGAGGAAAUCAAACUAUUAAGGAGACUUAGGGGGCCAGGUGCAAUGGCUCACACCUGUAAUCCGACUACUCUGGGAGGCCAAGGUGGGAGGAUCACUUGA
Microcebus murinus (gray mouse lemur) is the source of this 1147-nucleotide non-coding RNA. The record is from RefSeq and is a predicted model, not a curated record. NCBI's taxonomy places the organism in Eukaryota, Metazoa, Chordata, Mammalia, Primates, Cheirogaleidae.